AUCCAGCUGACGAGUUUCAAAUAGGACGAAACGCGCAUCCUAGAU
Non-coding RNA from Schistosoma mansoni, 45 nucleotides. Lineage: Eukaryota; Metazoa; Platyhelminthes; Trematoda; Strigeidida; Schistosomatidae. The record is from Rfam.